This 5242-nucleotide long non-coding RNA is filed under the name Homo sapiens (human). RNAcentral describes it as "non-protein coding PRKCQ-AS1:11". Lineage: Eukaryota; Metazoa; Chordata; Mammalia; Primates; Hominidae. The record is from RNAcentral.
CUGGAGCGGGAGGCGGCGGCCGGAGGGCCCAGGACAGCCCCGGGAGGGCGGCGAGGCGGAGCAGGAGCGCCCCGGCUCCGGCCACAUUCUCAGAGUCAGGAAAAGGGGCGAGAGGCCACAUGUCUCCCUCUCGCCCAACUGAAAACGAAACGGCGCUCCAGCAGAUUGGGUGGAAAGAGCUGGGUCUCUUUUCUCUGUUUUUCACGCUAGAAAGGGCUUGUAAACAUUGUUCCUUUUAAAAUGACCUACCCCAGGCAUUUGUUUGGGCACACUUCUGUCCUGGGGUCAUCGUUCCUAGGUGGCUUCGGACCUGGGACUUUUCCUGUAUCUGCACAUUGUCGUUUUAUACACAAUUGCCAAGGUGGGACUGCUUUCAACUUUACUGUGCUUGAAGCUGCAAAGGUUCUGCCCUGAUGUUUCCUGGAAUAAUGCUGAGGACUGCCUUUCGGGUAGCCGCCCUAUUCAGUUCACUUCAUCUCGGAAAUACCUGACCCCUGCCUUGGAUCCAGCGGCCCUCCUGAGAGCUGAGGAAGGAGGAAAUCCUAUGUGUCUGCUCCCGGAGCUGCCACAACCCAUCUUCCCACAACUCGGAACUUGGAAAAAGGAACCCAGGACACGACUUUGCUUUUCUUUUGGACCUAGUUGGUGAUUAUACUCUGUCUCCCAUGGAGACCACGUCUUGCAUCCUUCCUUCUAUAUGGGAUUUAGGAUAGAAAUUAAAAAGAAAACAUAUUAUUUUGAGUCUUGAUUUGGAGAAAGGUAGUAUUCAGGAGGAAGUAGGCUAUGAUACACAUAGAAAAUUUGAGGACAGUGUUACUUAACAAGGACAUUUCUGUCUCUGCAGAAGUCACAGCUUGGAGGAAACCAGUUUGCACUAUUUGAUGAGGAAUUUGGCCACCAAACCACUGAUACUUUCCCAAAGGUUUGGCAGAAAUUGUUUUUUGAGUGGCUCACCAGAGUACCCAGAAGAAUCAGUAUGGAAUUAGAGGACAGUGGCCUACCCUAAAUAAAGACAUGAGUGAUGUAUAAAGUCUAGUGUCAAUUUAUUCAGAAAAUAUCAAAAUUAUUCUGGGAGCUAUGGGUCAAAGUUGAUAGGCACAAACAAACAAAAACGAAAGGUAUUUUAAAUUCACAGCUUGGAUAAGUAAAAGGGAGAUGUUGUCAUUUCUCUUCUUCAAUCCAACUUUAGAUUUUCAAGCCGGAAAAAGGGUAAUUAGAAGUUAGAAAUUGUUAUUGCCAGAAAAUAGCUCUAAACCCUGAAAAAAAAAAAAAAAAAAAAAAAAACUGACCCUCCUCUUGGGGAGUGAUAAACCUCAAUUACUGUUGAUAGUAAAACUGAUAUCAACUCUUCGAAACCAGUGAAAGGUGAAUGGAAACCUUACCCUAGGUUAAGGUUUAAAAAAUGUUCAUAAUAUAUAUUUGAAAGUUCCAUUAUUUAAAAUAUUCAUUAGACAUGCUUUGUAAUGUUAAGUUACUUCAAAAAAUCUUACACAAGGGAAGGGAAGUAUGUAUUAUUCCUUCAUUUAAGAGAAAGAUAAUGUGUGAAUAUUAGUUAAUAUUUAUCGUACAUUUACUACCUGUGUCGAAGCGUAGUGUUACACACUUAAUUUCAAUUAUUUAAUUUGAUUCUAACAAUGAAUCCCCUGAGAUGGAUAAUAUCCUCUUCAUUUUACAGAUGAGACAAUUGAGACUUAAAGGUUAAACAAAUGAUUUCCUAAGCUCAUUCAGCUAAUAAACGGUAGGGGACUGCUUGACACCAGUCCAGUUGACCCUCAAAUCCAUGAUUUCUGCCACCAUAUUCACAGAAACAAGACAAGAGCUGAAAAUAUAGCCUGACUCUUGAAACAGUCAAAGAAUUGUGUAUGUUUAUGAAAGUUCUGAUUAAUAAGAUAUUCUGAGGACAAAAGACAAGGCAUGGGUAGAGGGGCAAUGUGUAGAUUAGAAUGUAUCACAAUGCCCACUAAAUAGUAAAACCAUAGAAAAUGAAAUUUAAUCCUUACUGUGUAGAAUAUUUAGAGUAGAUUGUUUUUUCCUCGGUGUCAAUUACUAUUACAACUAUCAAAGAAUGAAAUUAAACAAGAAACGGUUCCUUUGGUUUUUUUUUUUAAAGGUGGGAGUUAUAAAAACAGUAUUUGCCAUCUGGUUUUAGUUAUGGCUGUGGAAAUUCUAUGGGUACAAUUUGUUGUCAUUGUUGUUACCACUACCAAUACAGAGAUGCUAAUUGUAACAUCAGUUUCUAAAUCAGAUAGUGAAUAAUUACAUUUUCAAUGUUUUCUUAACAUAGAUACAAGUUAACAGGAUAUGCUUCUGGCCUGUUUCUGGAUUCUAAGGGUAGAACCAGCAUAAAACUAGUCAGUCCAAGUAUUUCUAAAGAUCCACAGACACAGUUCUCCUGGAUUUGGGAAGCCUAGAGAUAUUAGCACAAUAAUUAAGGCCCAAGUGAGUAUAAAAUUUUAUCUGAAAUUGAAGAGAUAUUGAUUAGAUAAUCCACAGAGACUACUUUUUAGUGAUUAUCUUCCACCAGGGUAAAAGCAACAGCAGCCUGAAAAUGCAAAAGACCAUACAUUUUAAUGGUAAGUCCUCCCCAGGAAGGAUUAAUAAAUCUCAGGAGGAAGAUUUAUUAUCUGUAAAUCCAGGAGGAAGAAAUCAAGAUGAAAACUAUCAUAUUUAUAAAUUUGAUUGUUGCAAUUUUAUAGUUUGACAUAGUGCAAUUGCUUUAGAUUUGAAGGGGAACUUACUUUAGAGUAAGUCACUCAAUCUCUUUUUUGGAAAGGCAAAUGCCACACCUGAUCCUCAUCACUCCCUUCUCCUUUGUCCAUAGCCUGGCUUUAUUCUGCCAUUAACACACACACACACACACACACACACACACACACAAAUUGGGAAGAGGAUUUCUCAUUUUACAGAAAGUAUGCUGGGCUACACAGGAUAUUCUAUCAGGUUUCUUCCAGCUAUAAAAUUCUGAGACUAAAUAUCAAAUUAAAGAAAGUACUAAUUGUCAGCGAUGGGGGAUGUACUGCUAUUUGCUUCUAGUGGUACUCACUGCUCAUUUCCUAUAUUCACUGGUAUAAAAAAAUUUCAAACACCCUCAAAAAAGCCUAUACUGGUGGUACCAGGAAAACGCUGAAAAUCAUUACUUUCUGUGUGGUGUCCAGCUCUUUUGGUUACAUCAUCACUUCGACCAUUCACUUUUAAAGAAAAACUUUUGUGGAACAAAAAUAUAAAGAUUUAUUUUUUUUCUUGGUGGCUUAGCACAGUGGCCUAAUGUGGCUGACCAUGUGCACCUGUUGUGUGAGUCACUUAGACGUGCUUUGUUUCUUGGUCACAGUUGAUCCCUCAACUCAAGCAUCUCACCCUCAAAAUGUUUGUUUGGGACCCAAGAGGCAAACCUUGAGAUGGGUUAUUUCUUUCACCUUGGAUUGGCUCAUCUGCUGGGAGUGGAGCCAAGCUGACAUUUCCUUUCCUUUUUGUCUGCCUAUCACUACGUAGAGGCAGCACAUAAGAGAGGGAAAGCCAUGCGCGUGGAGUCCAGCACAUCACCCAGAAGGCAGAUGUUCUAUCUCCAUUUUACUCAUUAAAACAAACAAAACCACACCUGGAUUGCCUGGUACUUAAAUAAAAUGCACUAUGAUGAUUGAAGAAAAAUAUCUUAUAUUUAAGGAAUAGUUUUAAUAGCUUACAUCUGUAUUUCUAUUAGCUUCCGUUUCUAUUUUUAAUAUUUGUAUAAUAUUAAAAGUAAUUUUAAAAAUGAACUAAUCUUUUUACAUCUCUUAUGAGAAUUUAAUGGAGAUAUGAUGUUUGAAGAUCAAAGAUACGUGGUAUUUGAAAUCAGAAAAUGUGUUUGCUUUUCUACACAGAUUACAAAUAUCAUGCAUUAUUUCACAAACUCUUCUCAAAGUGUUGAUUUUAAAAUUAGUAAAAGGAGGGUAUAUUCAUAUCACAUCCUGGCAUUUUUAUAGGCAAGAUUGAGCAGCUAUAACCUCUAAAGUGCUUUGAUCCCUAUAAGCCUCAAGAAGAGAAUGGUGCAAUUUGAAUUAAUAACUACCCAUUAUAGAGCAUUUGUAUCACAGUAUUUUCCAAAUACUAUCUUAUUUAACCCUACAGCAAUCCUAUGAUAUGGGGAUUAUGUACACAUUACAGAUGAGAACUUGAGGCUCGGAGAAAGUAAAUAACUUACACAAGAUCACAAAGCAAGUGACUGCCAGAGCCAGGAUCAGAACCCAGUCAGGCUUCAUUAGGAGCUCUGCUGAACUCUGUCUAGAGAAUUCUCACCACCUGCUGCAAAGGCUAAAAGAAAGGGUCAUAUUCCACAUGUAGAUUUUGAGAAAUAUUUGUUAUUUUUCUUAUGAUAAAGGUUAUGCAUACACACUCACACACACACACACACACACACAACUAGAAAUUACAGAAAAGAAAAAAGAUUAGCCAGAAUGUCACCACCUAAAGACAGAUAAUAUUUUGGUGUUUUCAAAUAUUCUUUUAUCUAUACUUUUUUGAAUUAUUUUAUUUUAAAAAUAACUUUUACUGGUUGCCUGAUUAUGAAGUAAUAAAUAUUCACCAUAAAUAUUUUGAAAAAUAUAAAACUGUCUAUAAAAGAAAUUUGAAAUGAUUGCUAAUCUCAAAAUAUAGAUACCUGUCAGUACUUUGGCAUUUUAUCCUCCUUGUGGCUGAGGUCACAUAUCUUGAGACUGAAGCACAAAAUUUCUAUACCAUACAGUUUAUAGUUUAGGCCACAACAUCAUUUUUAAAAUUGUUUCUUUGGUUUUUACUUGAUUUGCUGAUGUUUUAUUUUUUAGAAAAUUGCAGAUGUGAUUUUUAGGCAGCUGAUUGGAAUGUUCUGGUUGCUCUGAAUAGGACUAGCUACUUUGUUUUUUACUGAAGGACAAAUAUUAUUCCUACACACAUAAAAAACCUCAAAGAAUGAGUAAUGAUACUGUUUAAAUCUGCCCUUAUAACUCCAAAGAAUGACUUCAAAUUUUCUUUCUUCCAAAGCAACUUUUAAAAGCCUUUCCACUGCACAGUGAAAGAAAACCACAAACUCCUUGUUUAAUAAGUGGGAUCACGUGCUUUUAACACGAGGAAAAGGUCAAUCUGAAGCAACUGAUAUGGAACUGCCAGAGUAGGAGUUGAAAAUCUUCCUAAACUGCUGGAGGAUACACCUCUGAUAGCUUGAGACAAAUAUCCUCUUGAUCAUUGUUUCACCAUAUUUGUCUUUGCUCAUGGAGAACCAUUUUGAUCCGUG